This is a long non-coding RNA of Meriones unguiculatus (Mongolian gerbil), 1296 nucleotides long. RefSeq lists it as uncharacterized. The transcript is spliced from 3 exons. The record is from RefSeq and is a predicted model, not a curated record. NCBI's taxonomy places the organism in Eukaryota, Metazoa, Chordata, Mammalia, Rodentia, Muridae.
GAGGGGCGGGGCCAGGCUCGGGCGGCCGGGGAGGAGCAGCCCGGGCCGGCAGGGCGCUCCCAGGCCUUCGCCUGCCUGCCGGGCCCCGGGAGCAGUGAGCUGGGAUGGAACCGCAGCUCUGUGGAGACGCCGAGUCAGGAAAGCUGAACCACUGUCAGACCAGACGUCUGCCGUAAGCACAGCCCCGGGCCGUCGACCGUAGAGCUUUUUCAUUCACUCCCUCCCCAAAACAAAAAAAGUUACACAUCCUUUUCCUGUGGGCGAGGGUGCCCCAGAGAUCCAGGCAAUUUAUCUGGUGAUACACCAACAGGGAUGCCAUUCUCCCCAUCACUAAGCUGUUCAUCUGGAAACACUUCAUCUGUAUUUUCUCGAAAAUAAAUCUGGAAAAAAAACUUCACACUGAUUCUAGCCAACAGUUAUCAAAAUGCCUGAAAGCAGACCCUGGGUGCAAUGUUGUGGGACUAGCCUUGGAGUCCAAAGGAAAGAGGAGACAGCGAUCUCUAAAGCCCAUCAAGACAUUCUAAUGCACUUUGACUUGGGCAUUUAAAAAUAACCUGUGUUCUGGCUUCUCCUGGUUGCCUUUGCCACUUCCUCAAAUCUCUCUCCAGAUACCAGUCAAGGACGGCCCUUACACAUGACUGUUGUAUGACUGGAAUUAAUGAUGUACUCUUGAGGUCUUUUAGAUACACCCAAUGGAGGAAUAUCCCAACUGCUACACCUAAACCCUCAUUUAGCUGGAAGAAGCCAGACCAGUCAUUGCCCUAAUUCUAUAACGGCAGUUAGGGUUAUUUCGGGGGUAGGUGGGUGAUGAAACUAGGAGGUAAAAUUUGGCUAGGAAGUUUAGGGUAAAAAGACCCUAAAGAAAAGUAACCAGAAUUGUUCCUGUAUUUCUUGGCAGCCUCAUCCUUGCCAAACUUCAGAGAUGCCAAAAGGGACUUUGAUCUCUGAUCUGGCUUCUAUAUGGUUCUUUAAAAAAAACCUUUUCAAAGGAGGAGAAUGUUGAAGUAGAAGUUUGUUAGGCAAAAACUUCUGAUCAAGAGCACAAACUCAGCCUGGAUGGAAACCUAAUUUUCCAUUUGGAAUAGGUCAAUCGCCUGGCCAAGGCGCCACCCCUAUAAAGGCAGCAUUGCCUUAAGCCCUGCUGAAGAGUUAGUUCCUUAUGUCACGGGGCUCCUCCAAAUGAUUCCCAGUCACUUUCUGUCUGUACAGACUUCACAAAGUCAGCAUGCUGGCUGAACCUUAAGAAAAAAAUGAAAAUGUAUAAUAAAAAGGCAAGAAUUCUAAGAAAUGUUUGGU